UACGGGGGGGGCAAGCGUUGUUCGGAAUUACUGGGCGUAAAGGGCUCGUAGGCGGCCAACUAAGUCGGAUGUGAAAUCCCCAGGCUUAACCUGGGAACUGCAUCCGAUACUGGAUGGCUUGAAUCCGGGAGAGGGAUGCAGAAUUCCAGGUGUAGCGGUGAAAUGCGUAGAUAUCUGGAGGAAUACCGGUGGCGAAGGCGGCAUCCUGGACCGGCAUUGACGCUGAUGAGCGAAAGCCAGGGGAGCAAACGGG
Molecule: ribosomal RNA, 253 nt
Filed under: uncultured bacterium
Lineage: Bacteria
Description: partial 16S ribosomal RNA
Rfam family: Bacterial small subunit ribosomal RNA
Source: RNAcentral